UUAAAGGCCGCGGUAUCAUGACCGUGCGAAGGUAGCAUAAUCAUUAGUCUUUUAAUUGGGGGCUGGUAUGAAGGGUCGGACGAGAAAUGAGCUGUCUUAAAUUUUGAAAAUUGAAUUUAACUUUUAAGUGAGAAGGCUUAAAUAGGCUAGGGGGACGAUAAGACCCUAUAAAGUUUGACAUUAAAUUAAUUAAGGGUGAUUUAGAUUAUAAAGUCUUAUUAUUAUAUAAGUGUUUAGUUGGGGCGACUAGGAUAUAAGUUAUUUAACUGUUUCUUCAUUCGAAUCAAAAAUUUUUGAUUUUAUGAUCCUUUUUAAGGGUACUAGAGUAAAUUACUUUAGGGAUAACAGCGUAAUUUUUUUUGAGAGUUCUUAUCGAUAAAAGAGUUUGCGACCUCGAUGUUGAAUUAAAAUUUCUUUGUAAUGCAGCAGUUACAAGAGAGGGUCUGUUCGACCUUUAAAUUUUUACAUGAUUUGAGUUC
This 479-nucleotide ribosomal RNA is filed under the name Cherax destructor albidus. RNAcentral's name for it is "partial 16S ribosomal RNA". It matches the Rfam family "Archaeal large subunit ribosomal RNA", at positions 2001 to 2681 of the family's 2987-position model. The record is from RNAcentral. Lineage: Eukaryota; Metazoa; Arthropoda; Malacostraca; Decapoda; Parastacidae.